AUACCUUUCUCGGCCUUUUGGCUAAGAUCAAGUGUAGUAUCUGUUCUUAUCAGUUUAAUAUCUGAUAUGUGGGCUAUUGGUUCACACGAUAUUAAAUUUAUUUUUUAAGGGGGAAGGCCCACCAAAAUAGCUUGCUAUAGGGCUCUUCACGUGUCGCUUGAGUGUUGCACUACUACUCGGGCCUGGCACACCCCCA
Non-coding RNA from Daucus carota subsp. sativus, 196 nucleotides. The record is from Rfam. Lineage: Eukaryota; Viridiplantae; Streptophyta; Magnoliopsida; Apiales; Apiaceae.